GCUGGCGGCACGCCUAAUACAUGCAAGUCGAACGAAGUAGCAAUACUUAGUGGCAGACGGGUGAGUAACAUGUGGGUAUCUUCCCUUUGGUGAGGAAUAACACGAGGAAACUUGUGCUAAUACCUCAUAAGUCUUUACGGAGAAAGCUUUAUGCGCCAAUGGAUGAGCCCGCACUUGAUUAGUUUGUUGGUAGGGUAAUGGCCUACCAAGACUAUGAUCAAUAGCUGAUUUGAGAGGAUGAUCAGCCACAUUGGGACUGAGACACGGCCCAAACUCCUACGGGAGGCAGCAGUAGGGAAUCUUGCACAAUGGAGGAAACUCUGAUGCAGCGAUGCCGCGUGAGUGAAGAAGGCCUUUGGGUUGUAAAGCUCUUUCGUCGGGGAAGAAAAUGACUGUACCCGAAUAAGAAGGUCCGGCUAACUUCGUGCCAGCAGCCGCGGUAAUACGAAGGGACCUAGCGUAGUUCGGAAUUACUGGGCUUAAAGAGUUCGUAGGUGGUUAAAAAAGUUGGUGGUGAAAGCCCAGAGCUUAACUCUGGAACUGCCAUCAAAACUUUUUAGCUAGAGUAUGAUAGAGGAAAGCAGAAUUUCUAGUGUAGAGGUGAAAUUCGUAGAUAUUAGAAAGAAUACCAAUUGCGAAGGCAGCUUUCUGGAUCAUUACUGACACUGAGGAACGAAAGCAUGGGUAGCGAAGAGGAUUAGAUACCCUCGUAGUCCAUGCCGUAAACGAUGUGUGUUAGAUGUUGGAAAUUUAUUUUCAGUAUCGCAGCGAAAGCAAUAAACACACCGCCUGGGGAGUACGACC
This 804-nucleotide ribosomal RNA is filed under the name uncultured Pelagibacteraceae bacterium. RNAcentral's name for it is "bacterial SSU rRNA". It matches the Rfam family "Bacterial small subunit ribosomal RNA", at positions 35 to 887 of the family's 1533-position model. The record is from RNAcentral. Lineage: Bacteria; Pseudomonadati; Pseudomonadota; Alphaproteobacteria; Candidatus Pelagibacterales; Candidatus Pelagibacteraceae.